RNAcentral lists this ribosomal RNA (253 nucleotides) under uncultured bacterium. RNAcentral's name for it is "partial 16S ribosomal RNA". It matches the Rfam family "Bacterial small subunit ribosomal RNA", at positions 524 to 776 of the family's 1533-position model. The record is from RNAcentral.
UACGAAGGGUGCAAACGUUGCUCGGAAUUAUUGGGCGUAAAGCGCACGUAGGCGGCUUGGCAAGUCGGAUGUGAAAGCCCUCAGCUCAACUGAGGAAGUGCGCCCGAAACUGCAGAGCUUGAGUACCGGAGAGGAUGGCGGAAUUCCCCAAGUAGAGGUGAAAUUCGUAGAUAUGGGGAGGAACACCGGUGGCGAAGGCGGCCAUCUGGACGGAUACUGACGCUGAGACGCGAAAGCGUGGGGAGCAAACAGG